RNAcentral lists this small RNA (1300 nucleotides) under Arabidopsis thaliana (thale cress). RNAcentral's name for it is "ATSL169590". The record is from RNAcentral. Lineage: Eukaryota; Viridiplantae; Streptophyta; Magnoliopsida; Brassicales; Brassicaceae.
GACUUAUGAUAUAGAUGAGACCAUAUGUUUACAUAGAAUUUUCAAAAAAAAUAUUAUCUUAUUAGUUUAUAGAUUUGUAUCAAUUUUUACAACGGUCCACCCUUGAGAUCGAAAAAAUUUACUAAUUUAUAGGGGUAACUAAUUUACCGCUAUUAACUUAUAGAGAUUUUAUUGUAUAUCAACGUAUAUAUUUGUACGAGCUUUGCAUUUUGAUGAAUCAGUGGUGAUGUCCUAUGGGUUAUGAAGCUUCAUAACUCAUAGGACAAGCACACAAGAUAAAUAUGCUAAUGAAUCCAUCAGUCGAGUCUUGGAAGCCUUUAAGCAAUUGGAAGCAAAAGAUAUUAUGGCGACUAUCGCUAAUAUAUUGACUUUGAUCCAACAGAACUAUCCCAAAGCUCGUAUGAAUUUGAGAACAUUGCUAGAUAUUGCGGUGGAAAUUAAAAAAGUCACAAAGCAUAACAUUGAGGAGGAGGGUACACCAUCUUUUUAUGUUACUCAAAGGGUAGCACAAAUCAAUAGUUUCAUAGAUACUUCUGCUCUUGAUGAAUCAAAAGAUUAUCAAACAGCAGUUACCUGUUUUAUCCACAAUACUAGGUACUUGGACCAACUCAAAAUACUUGUUCAUAAUUUAUCAGAUUUAAAAGGUUUAUUGAUUAAAAUCAUAUAUGGGGUAUCUCUUCUGGAGGAAACAGAGGAGAUCUAUCAGAGAUGCUUGGCACUUUUUGCCUUGAUGCAUCAGGGUGGAGAGGAUGCCGUAAAUGUCAUUGUAGAAUCUUUGGGUGUUGAGAGUUCCAUGAUACACAUUGAGGUCUGUCAAAUUUCCAUGCAUUUAAUGAUGAUUUUGAGUUUGUCUCAUUGUUCUUCAUCUCUAGAUGCAUUUUGUUUUUGCUUCUUCUUAGGCUGCGUUUGUGUUCGAGUCGAGGCUAAGAGCUAAUCUUUUAGGCUCAUUCAAUACUAGAUUAAUCGCUAAAGAGACCUGUAUGACUUUGAAACCAAGGUACCCAAAUGUAAAAAAACAAUGACAUCUCGACGAAGAAUGGAAGCUCUCGUUUAAUAUCGGCCCAUCAUUACAUGAAAAAUAGAUAAACGGUGCGUUUUAAAUCCAUAUAAACAUCUUGUAAAUAAAUUUCUGAACACUGUGACAUCUAAGACCAAAACAAGAUAGUAGGGAUCAAAUUGAUCAUUGUAGUUGUUUGUUUGAUUAAUGGUUCAAAUUAUGGAAAUUAUGAUUAAUUCUAAAAUCAUCGAAGCUUUUGAAUAAUCGUGUCAAAAUUAAAUUUUAAUAGGUAAUCUUAUUUCU